CGAAGGACCCAAGCGUUAUCCGGAUUUAUUGGGUUUAAAGGGUGCGUAGGCGGGUUGUUAAGUCAGUGGUGAAAGCUCCGAGCCUAACUCGGAAACUGCCAUUGAUACUGAUGAUCUUGAGUACAUUUGAGGUGGGCGGAAUGUGUCAUGUAGCGGUGAAAUGCUUAGAGAUGACACAGAACACCGAUUGCGAAGGCAGCUCACUAAACUGUAACUGACGCUGAGGCACGAAAGCGUGGGGAGCAAACAGGAUUAGAUACCCUGGUAGUCCACGCCCUAAACGAUGAUCACUCGAUGUGUGCGAUACACUGUACGCGUCCGAGCGAAAGCAUUAAGUGAUCCACCUGGGGAGUACGGCCGCAAGGCUG
RNAcentral lists this ribosomal RNA (368 nucleotides) under uncultured organism. RNAcentral's name for it is "bacterial SSU rRNA". It matches the Rfam family "Bacterial small subunit ribosomal RNA", at positions 526 to 896 of the family's 1533-position model. The record is from RNAcentral.